UCGUAGCGACUGCGGAGGACAUUAUCGAGUUUUGAACGGGUUGUAGCUGGCCUUUAACGAGGUAUGUGCACGCCUGGCUCAUCCACUCUCAACCUCUGUGCACUUUAUGUAAGAAACGGUGUAAGCCAGCUAUUUAUUAGUUGGUUAUAAGCCUUUCUUAUGUUCACUACAAACGCUUCAGUUAUAGAAUGUUUACUGUGUAUAACACAAUUAUAUACAACUUUCAGCAACGGAUCUCUUGGCUCUCGCAUCGAUGAAGAACGCAGCGAAAUGCGAUAAGUAAUGUGAAUUGCAGAAUUCAGUGAAUCAUCGAAUCUUUGAACGCACCUUGCACUCCUUGGUAUUCCGAGGAGUAUGCCUGUUUGAGUCUCAUGGAAUUCUCAACCCCUAAAUUUUGUAAUGAAGUUUAGUGGGCUUGGACUUGGAGGUUGUGUCGGCUUCUAGUCGACUCCUCUGAAAUGCAUUAGCGUGAAUCUUACGGAUCGCCUUCAGUGUGAUAAUUAUCUGCGCUGUGGUGUUGAAGUAUUUAUUAGUUCGUGCUUAUAAUCGUCUCUUACCGAGACAAUUUAUGACAAUCUGAGCUCAAAUCAGGUAGGACUACCCGCUGAACUUAAGCAUAUCAAUAAGCGGAGGAAUU
RNAcentral lists this ribosomal RNA (637 nucleotides) under Irpex laceratus. RNAcentral describes it as "eukaryotic LSU rRNA". The stretch from base 219 to 372 matches the Rfam family "5.8S ribosomal RNA". Lineage: Eukaryota; Fungi; Basidiomycota; Agaricomycetes; Polyporales; Irpicaceae. The record is from RNAcentral.